This 252-nucleotide ribosomal RNA is filed under the name uncultured bacterium. RNAcentral's name for it is "partial 16S ribosomal RNA". It matches the Rfam family "Bacterial small subunit ribosomal RNA", at positions 524 to 776 of the family's 1533-position model. The record is from RNAcentral.
UACGUAGGUCCCGAGCGUUGUCCGGAUUUAUUGGGCGUAAAGCGAGCGCAGGUGGUUUAUUAAGUCUGGUGUAAAAGGCAGUGGCUCAACCAUUGUAUGCAUUGGAAACUGGUAGACUUGAGUGCAGGAGAGGAGAGUGGAAUUCCAUGUGUAGCGGUGAAAUGCGUAGAUAUAUGGAGGAAUACCAGUGGCGAAAGCGGCUCUCUGGCCUGUAACUGACACUGAGGCUCGAAAGCGUGGGGAGCAAACAGG